CAGAGUUGCAAAACUCCCUCAAACCAUCGCGAAUCUUACCCGUACGGUUGCCUCGGCGCUGGCGGUCCGGAAGGCCCUCGGGCCCCCCGGAUCCUCGGGUCUCCCGCUCGCGGGAGGCUGCCCGCCGGAGUGCCGAAACCAAACUCUUGAUAUUUUAUGUCUCUCUGAGUAAACUUUUAAAUAAGUCA
Molecule: unclassified non-coding RNA, 188 nt
Filed under: soil metagenome
Description: partial internal transcribed spacer 1
Source: RNAcentral